ACCGACCUUAUCUGGGGGUGUGAGCACACUCAAGGAUCGUUUAGAGAGAGUAUGCCUGCUAACACCAACACAUAACUAGAUCCGCACCGCUCGCAUGUAAAUGUGGGUUUGGGUGCAAUUUUUGGAACC
Saccostrea echinata is the source of this 129-nucleotide small nuclear RNA. RefSeq annotates it as U4atac minor spliceosomal RNA. The record is from RefSeq and is a predicted model, not a curated record. Lineage: Eukaryota; Metazoa; Mollusca; Bivalvia; Ostreida; Ostreidae. The transcript has a single exon.